Molecule: ribosomal RNA, 443 nt
Filed under: uncultured bacterium
Lineage: Bacteria
Description: partial 16S ribosomal RNA
Rfam family: Bacterial small subunit ribosomal RNA
Source: RNAcentral
CCUACGGGAGGCAGCAGUGGGGAAUAUUGGGCAAUGGGCGCAAGCCUGACCCAGCAACGCCGCGUGAAGGAAGAAGGCUUUCGGGUUGUAAACUUCUUUUCUCAGGGACGAAGCAAGUGACGGUACCUGAGGAAUAAGCCACGGCUAACUACGUGCCAGCAGCCGCGGUAAUACGUAGGUGGCAAGCGUUAUCCGGAUUUACUGGGUGUAAAGGGCGUGUAGGCGGGAAAGCAAGUCAGAUGUGAAAACCAUGGGCUCAACCUGUGGCCUGCAUUUGAAACUGGUUUUCUUGAGUACUGGAGAGGCAGACGGAAUUCCUAGUGUAGCGGUGAAAUGCGUAGAGAUUAGGAGGAACACCAGUGGCGAAGGCGGUCUGCUGGACAGCAACUGACGCUGAGGCGCGAAAGCGUGGGGAGCAAACAGGAUUAGAUACCCCUGUAGUC